GCUCACAUCGACGGGGAGGUUUGGCACCUCGAUGUCGGCUCGUCACGUCCUGGGGCUGGAGAAGGUCCCAAGGGUUAGGCUGUUCGCCUAUUAAAACGGCACGUGAGCUGGGUUCAAACCGACGUGAGUCAGGUUGGUCUCUAUCCGGUGUGGGCGUUCGAAUAUUGAGGAGGUUGACUCUUAGUACGAGAGGACCAGAGUGAGGUAACCGCUAGUGUACCAAUUGUUCCACCAGGAGCAUCGUUGGGUAGCUACGUUGCUAUAGGAUAAGCGCUGAAAGCAUAUAAGUGCGAAGCCAACUCCAAGAUUAAUAUUCGUUGAGAUCCGUUUCAGAUAAGAACGUAAAAUUUCUUUUCUUUACAAAGUUUGUAUUUUGUAGCUUGCUAUAAUUUACUUUCUGCGUUUUGAACAGAAUUAAUAGGCUCUAGGUGUAAGUACAGUAAUGUAUUGAGCCGAGGAGCACUAAUAGAUCGAAAGCUUUAUCGCG
This 487-nucleotide ribosomal RNA is filed under the name Candidatus Dojkabacteria bacterium. RNAcentral's name for it is "partial 23S ribosomal RNA". It matches the Rfam family "Bacterial large subunit ribosomal RNA", at positions 2498 to 2925 of the family's 2925-position model. The record is from RNAcentral.